ACUUCCCAAUCAAUUCUUUAUUGUAGCAAAUAAGGGAUAUACAUGUACAUCAUGCAUUACUGUAAACAUGUAGUAUAAAACAUUCUGAUUUGCUGCUCUUGAUGAUGUUAUUUUCUUUAAUACAUUAUUACAAUUCAUGUACAUGUAACUUCUGAAGGUUUUCAUUCUCCUGAAGACAACCAGAACACACUGAUUUGAAACUUUGAAUUUGGGUGGUCCUUUUCAUGACCAAUACUUGCCCAAGAAAGAUUCACUUAUUAUUACAAUUUACUUUUAUAAUUUGCAUACGUUUUGUUUAAUAUUUUCUUUUCAGUAUCAUUUCCCUUUUUUUGCUUUUGCUUUGUUUAUUCAUUUUAGUUUUUUGGGGGUGGCUAUUUGUGUUGUGCUUUAAAGCCGCUUAUACACAUUUCUCACCAACCUGGCAUCUGUAGAAUUGUAAUCUAUUCAUACAUUUCCUCUUUUAUUCAAAAUGGAAGCUUUAUAUCAAACCUUUCUUGGAAAGUCCUAAUUAGAUUUUACCCAUAUCCCAUAUUCAAUGUUAUCAAAAUGUAUGCAUGUCCAUGCCAUUUUUUUAAUGUGAAUAUCGCCAUUGUCAGCAUCUGUAAUACGUACAUGUAAGCCUUCAUGUAAUCGUGGUGAGUUUACUAAGUUUAUACAUGAAGAGGAUGUAGGAUCCACACAAAAUAAGAAAAUGACAUUAUUCCUUCAUAUCACAGCACUUGUAAUUUUUGGCAAUCCAAACACUUUACAUUUUGUCAGUGGAAUAGUAGAGAGGUUGUCAACUUCAUAAUGAACAAUAUUCUAAAUUUGGUAUGAAAUUGAGUACCAAAACAAAGUACCGUACUUUAAAUCCUUGUUUAAUAUGUGUAAUCUUUGAUUUUAAUCUUUCAGAUUUUCAUAAAAAUCCGUUUUCAGUCUCUCGAUCACAAUUAAAAGUUUUUUGUAGUCAUCACUAAUAUAUUUCAGAUAUAUGUUUUUUUCUUUUUCAGAUAAGCCUUUUUCAAACUCUCUUUGAAAUUACAUGUACAUUGUAGUAGUGCUGAAUCAUAAAUACUGCCUCUGUAACUUUCUGCUCAUGCGUAGUCCUUUGCAGCAUUUCAUGAAAGAAAUAAUCUGUGAUUUUCACUUACUACUUGUUAUAAGCUUCUGAAAUCCUUGCAUCUGAUUGGCUUAGAGCAAAUUUUUAAGUGAAAAUUACUGACAAGAUGCUUUCAUGAAACACUCCUGAGAUGCUCCUUGAUUUUCAUACUACCUGUAUCUACAUGUAUGUGUAUUCUAUCACUUAUUCCAUCUCUCUCCAUCUAGGACUUCAUGUUCUUUGAGGAAUCAGGAGACAAGAAAGACCAGAAGAAGGCCGGAUUCACUUCUAUCUAAUCAUCAUCAUCAUCAUUAUUAUCCAUAUGUAGAUCAUACCAAUCAAAGUAAGGACUUCAUGUUCUUUGAAGAGUCUGGUAACAAGAAUGAUCAGAACAAUGCAGGAUUCGUCAGGAACUAAAACCAAAGUUGGCUACCAAUCACUACUUACUAUCACCCUUCAAUUGGCAACACGGUCAUCUCAAACUAUGCAUCACACCAUGGAGCAAGUUGAUAUCUAAACAGUGGGAUCAUAAUAAUGUUUUGACAAAUAAAAGCUUUCUGUAUUCUUUAUAUAAUCAAUUAAAUUUGAAAUUAAUAUUUUACCAUGUUUAUAUUUGUCUCUCUUUUUUUAUUAUACAUGUAUGUAUCAUUAAAUUGAAUGUGAUCAUUAUGGAUUACUAGUAUUUUUCUAUUUUUUAAUUGGUUCAAUGGCUGAUAUCCUUUUGUCUUGCACAUCUCCUUUUUACAAACAUAAUUUUAGCUUGUAUGUUUACAUUGCCAUUUGGAUGAGAGGGUUUGAUAUUUGUAUCUCAAUCCAUGAGAUGUCUCAUACAUACUUCUUGUAGAUGAUCAGAAUUCUCACAAGAAUUAAAAUUACUGUUCACUUUUAAAACUCAUACAUAUUGUACCUAAAUGUAACUACUGGUAGGAAUAUCCUGUAUAUGGGACUAACGCGUACUGUCAAAAUCCCCUUUCACUAUAAUUAAUAUUCAUAUUGUUUUGUAUCAGUUAUACAUACAUUUACCUAAAGUCCAUUUGUUUGUGCUUUACCUGAGGCCAGUGUUCAAAUUCUGUGUGCACUUUAUCAUGAAAUAAUCAUAUAAGGAUCAGCGUUAAAACAAAUAAUUGCUGUUGCACUCUUCUCCAUAGUCAACCAGGGGACUGUUACACUAAGAUGAGGUGUGACUUGAAAUCAUUCUUAAAUUUCUAGUUGCCUUCAGUAUUAUAAGACUUUGUUAUUCGCAUAUUAAUCUAUCAUCAAUACCGCAUCACAGCAUUUGAUUGAUCACACUUGGAAGACACGCACUACUGCAUAUUCAUCAGUGAGACGAUCAUGCGUGUGUGCGGGCGGACAUUGAGCAUGGCUUUUAAUGACACAUCUGUGAAACAGUCCCCAGUUUGUUUAAUUAAACUUUCCCCAAUUGAGCAAUGUGGUAUAGAGUUUAGACAUAUGUUUCUUGUCAUAUAUAUGAUAUUGGGGAGAUAAUAUUCAAUUCUCUGUUUAAAUUGAUCUGUGUAUAUGCGAGAUUGUUCUUUAGUGUAGUGUACAUUAUGCGAUGGCAAUAUGUAUAGCAUCUAAUAAUGUUUGUCUUGUAGUAGUUAAAUCUUAAUUUCUUUUAUAUUCAUAUGUAUCCAUGUGGGAACAUGAUUGUAUUAUUUCAUGAUUAUCACCUUUGUAAGUUUUGUCUAUAUUGUAGCACAAAGUUGAGCCGUUAUUAGAUAACAAUUAACAUGCAAAAUAACAAAUUCUCAAAAUUUGUUGUAGAAUAAAUGAUUAUGAACCCCCUCUCUAUUUAAAGACCCUCAUGUAUUAGGUCUUCCGUUUUAAUUAAGAUAUUGAUUAAUUUCUUAUGAUAUAUUUAGGUGAUUAAGGGUUUUUUUUCUUCCAAGCUUAUUUAAAUAUGAAAACUAUUCGUGAUUGGCUCCUUUAUCCUUUGGGAGAAAGGAAUUAAUAUUUCCCCCAAAAAAAUUAUCAGGUCUUUUCGUUCCUGAAAUUCAACUCUUUGCUCCAAUUUUGUGGUUUACAUAAAGGUUAGUUUUGAGGGCAUUAUUACUUAAUUGGCCAUUGAUAAUCAAGUAGAACCUUAUUUAUUUAAAAAUAAGUUUUAUUUUGUUAUUCAUUUCAUGCUGGCAGGCUGUGAUAUGAUAAUAAUAAAAUGUAUAAGUGAAUUUAAUCCAACAGGUCCAAUAGAUAAAGUGAUUUGUAUCAUGUUACACAGGCAACUUCGAACUCAACAAUUUAAUUUAUGUAUUGUAAAGGUUAAUUAAUAGAAAACUUGUGAAUUAGUGAAUAAGUGAGCAAAUAUAAAAACAUGAAGUUGAAAAAAUAAUGAAGUUGUAUCCAUGUAAUGUAUUCUGGAAUUGAUAGUUUGAGUGUAGAGAAAAUAGUGUUUCAUUGUAUGUGUAGUGCAUUAUUUUAUUUACUGUAUAAUAGUAGAUGUUGGGUAUAUUUAGCAUUAUAAUACUUGUAUGUGUCUUUCAUAUUAUAAAUAUUAUGAAAAUAAAUGUGAAUUGCCUGCAAAAUUCA
Lytechinus pictus (painted urchin) is the source of this 3604-nucleotide long non-coding RNA. RefSeq lists it as uncharacterized. NCBI's taxonomy places the organism in Eukaryota, Metazoa, Echinodermata, Echinoidea, Temnopleuroida, Toxopneustidae. The transcript has 2 exons. The record is from RefSeq and is a predicted model, not a curated record.